UACACGCUGUGACUAGCAUAUCAAUAAGCGGAGGAAAAGAAACUAACAAGGAUUCCCUUAGUAACGGCGAGUGAAGCGGGAAGAGCUCAAAUUUGAAAUCUUCAAGGUUUUACCUUGACGAAUUGUAGUUUAAAGAAGUGUUUUCUGCUGAAGUUUUGGUAAAAGUUCUUUGGAAUAGGACAUCAUAGAGGGUGAGAAUCCCGUAUUUGACCAUUAUUUUCAGCUUUGUGAUACACUUUCAAAGAGUCGGAUUGUUUGGGAAUGCAGUCCAAAAUGGGUGGUAAAUUUCAUCUAAAGCUAAAUAUUGGCGAGAGACCGAUAGCGAACAAGUACCGUGAGGGAAAGAUGAAAAGAACUUUGAAAAGAGAGUUAAACAGUACGUGAAAUUGCCAAAAGGGAAGCGUUUGACACCAGUGUUGUUUUCUCGAAAAUCAAUUAAAAUGGCUCGAUUUUGUAUUGUUGAGACCUUAAAAGCUCACUGUACAUUUUUCGUGUCUUUUUUAAUGCACUUUUCGUUUAACAAGUCAACAUCAGUUUCUUUUGUUGUAAAAGGGUCAUUGGAAGGUGGCUUUCUUUUCGGAGAAAGUGUUUAUAGCCUUUGGCCUCUGCAAUCGGAGAGACUGAGGUCUGCAGCGUAGACUCUUCGGGGUUAGAUACAUUUGUGCUAAGUUAUAGCUUUUUAUAGACAACUUGUUGACUAUAAUUAGUCUUGUAGCUUACUCGCUUAUGCUAUUUUACCUACGCUUAGGAUGUUGAUCUACAGAGCGAGAGU
Molecule: ribosomal RNA, 772 nt
Filed under: uncultured Neocallimastigales
Lineage: Eukaryota; Fungi; Neocallimastigomycota; Neocallimastigomycetes; Neocallimastigales
Description: partial large subunit ribosomal RNA
Rfam family: Eukaryotic large subunit ribosomal RNA
Source: RNAcentral